CUCCGGCCUUAGCCCUUCCAUUAGCUCGUGUGACUUAGGCAAGUCUCUCUACCUCUAUGGGUCCAGAGUUUCUUCAUCAGUAUGAUGCUCAAAGUUGUAAAGCUUAAAGGCUUCAAGUGAGUGUGCUUCCUCCAGGAGAUAAUGAUGGGUUGUCAUAAAUAGUUGACUUGCCUGAGUCUGUGGAAGCUGAAGACAACCAGAGAGUUUGAUUUGGGAAGAGAUACCCAGUUUACAAUCCACAACCACAGAGAAGCUAGAUCCGUCUUCCAGAAACAGAUGGAAGCAGAUGCAGAAAUCCUCAACUAACCAUUGGGCCAAGCUCCUGGAGUACACUCGAAUUGAGGGAGGAGUGAUAAUAUAAACA
This 364-nucleotide long non-coding RNA is filed under the name Cricetulus griseus (Chinese hamster). RNAcentral's name for it is "lncRNA (ENSCGRG00015037545.1)". Lineage: Eukaryota; Metazoa; Chordata; Mammalia; Rodentia; Cricetidae. The record is from RNAcentral.